This is a non-coding RNA of Acanthosepion pharaonis, 90 nucleotides long. Lineage: Eukaryota; Metazoa; Mollusca; Cephalopoda; Sepiida; Sepiidae. The record is from the annotation of a GenBank genome assembly.
CCGAUUCCCGUACGAUCACUGAAGUUUAAGCAACUUCGAGCCUGGUCUGUACUUAAAUGGGUGACCGCUUGUGAAUAGCAGGUACUGUAC